UCCGGGGGGGGCAAGCGUUGUUCGGAAUUACUGGGCGUAAAGGGCGCGUAGGCGGCCUUCUAAGUCGGACGUGAAAUCCCUCGGCUUAACCGAGGAACUGCGUCCGAUACUGAAAGGCUUGAAUCCGGGAGAGGGAUGUGGAAUUCCAGGUGUAGCGGUGAAAUGCGUAGAUAUCUGGAGGAACACCGAUGGCGAAGGCAGGUCUCUGGGCCACUACUGACGCUGAGAAGAGAAAGCAUGGGGAGCGAACAGG
This 253-nucleotide ribosomal RNA is filed under the name uncultured bacterium. Its description in RNAcentral is "partial 16S ribosomal RNA". It matches the Rfam family "Bacterial small subunit ribosomal RNA", at positions 524 to 776 of the family's 1533-position model. The record is from RNAcentral.